RNAcentral lists this ribosomal RNA (482 nucleotides) under uncultured bacterium. Its description in RNAcentral is "bacterial SSU rRNA". It matches the Rfam family "Bacterial small subunit ribosomal RNA", at positions 30 to 506 of the family's 1533-position model. The record is from RNAcentral.
UUGAACGCUGGCGGAAUGCUUUACACAUGCAAGUCGAGCGGCAGCGCGGGGGCAACCCUGGCGGCGAGCGGCGAACGGGUGAGUAACAUAUCGGAACGUACCCUAUCGUGGGGGAUAACACAUCGAAAGAUGUGCUAAUACCGCAUACGACCUGAGGGUGAAAGCAGGGGAUCGCAAGACCUUGCGCGACAGGAGCGGCCGAUAUCGGAUUAGCUAGUUGGUGGGGUAAAGGCUCACCAAGGCGACGAUCCGUAGCUGGUCUGAGAGGACGACCCGCCACACUGGAACUGAGACACGGUCCAGACUCCUACGGGAGGCAGCAGUGGGGAAUUUUGGACAAUGGGGGCAACCCUGAUCCAGCCAUUCCGCGUGAGUGAAGAAGGCCUUCGGGUUGUAAAGCUCUUUCAGCAGGAGCGAAACGGUCGUUUUUAAUACAGACGGCUAAUGACGGUACCUGCAGAAGAAGCACCGGCUAACUACGU